CUGGGCGUUAAGUUGCAGGGUAUAGACCCGAAACCCGGUGAUCUAGCCAUGGGCAGGUUGAAGGUUGGGUAACACUAACUGGAGGACCGAACCGACUAAUGUUGAAAAAUUAGCGGAUGACUUGUGGCUGGGGGUGAAAGGCCAAUCAAACCGGGAGAUAGCUGGUUCUCCCCGAAAGCUAUUUAGGUAGCGCCUCGUGAAUUCAUCUCCGGGGGUAGAGCACUGUUUCGGCAAGGGGGUCAUCCCGACUUACCAACCCGAUGCAAACUGCGAAUACCGGAGAAUGUUAUCACGGGAGACACACGGCGGGUGCUAACGUCCGUCGUGAAGAGGGAAACAACCCAGACCGCCAGCUAAGGUCCCAAAGUCAUGGUUAAGUGGGAAACGAUGUGGGAAGGCCCAGACAGCCAGGAUGUUGGCUUAGAAGCAGCCAUCAUUUAAAGAAAGCGUAAUAGCUCACUGGUCGAGUCGGCCUGCGCGGAAGAUGUAACGGGGCUAAACCAUGCACCGAAGCUGCGGCAGCGACGCUGAUGCGUUGUUGGGUAGGGGAGCGUUCUGUAAGCCUGUGAAGGUGUGCUGUGAGGCAUGCUGGAGGUAUCAGAAGUGCGAAUGCUGACAUAAGUAACGAUAAAGCGGGUGAAAAGCCCGCUCGCCGGAAGACCAAGGGUUCCUGUCCAACGUUAAUCGGGGCAGGGUGAGUCGACCCCUAAGGCGAGGCCGAAAGGCGUAGUCGAUGGGAAACAGGUUAAUAUUCCUGUACUUGGUGUUACUGCGAAGGGGGGACGGAGAAGGCUAUGUUGGCCGGGCGACGGUUGUCCCGGUUUAAGCGUGUAGGCUGGUUUUCCAGGCAAAUCCGGAAAAUCAAGGCUGAGGCGUGAUGACGAGGCACUACGGUGCUGAAGCAACAAAUGCCCUGCUUCCAGGAAAAGCCUCUAAGCAUCAGGUAACAUCAAAUCGUACCCCAAACCGACACAGGUGGUCAGGUAGAGAAUACCAAGGCGCUUGAGAGAACUCGGGUGAAGGAACUAGGCAAAAUGGUGCCGUAACUUCGGGAGAAGG
This 1059-nucleotide ribosomal RNA is filed under the name Escherichia coli. Its description in RNAcentral is "partial 23S ribosomal RNA". It matches the Rfam family "Bacterial large subunit ribosomal RNA", at positions 688 to 1746 of the family's 2925-position model. Lineage: Bacteria; Pseudomonadati; Pseudomonadota; Gammaproteobacteria; Enterobacterales; Enterobacteriaceae. The record is from RNAcentral. RNAcentral also lists the same sequence under 2 other names.